UUAACGUAGACGAAAGUUACGCUAAUACCGCAUACGAUCUACGGAUGAAAGCAGGGGACCUUCGGGCCUUGUGCUAUACGAGCGGCCGAUGUCUGAUUAGCUAGUUGGUGAGGUAAAGGCUCACCAAGGCGACGAUCAGUAGCGGGUCUGAGAGGAUGAUCCGCCACACUGGGACUGAGACACGGCCCAGACUCCUACGGGAGGCAGCAGGUGGGGUAAUUUUUGGACAAUGGGCGAAAGCCUGAUCCAGCCAUGCCGCGUGUCUGAAGAAGGCCUUCGGGUUGUAAAGGACUUUUGUCAGGGAGCAAAACUUACUGGUUAAUACCCGGUGAGGCUGAGAGUACCUGAAGAAUAAGCACCGGCUAACUACGUGCCAGCAGCCGCGGUAAUACGUAGGGUGCAAGCGUUAAUCGGAAUUACUGGGC
Molecule: ribosomal RNA, 425 nt
Filed under: uncultured bacterium
Lineage: Bacteria
Description: bacterial SSU rRNA
Rfam family: Bacterial small subunit ribosomal RNA
Source: RNAcentral